CCUACGGGAGGCAGCAGUGGGGAAUUUUGGACAAUGGACGCAAGUCUGAUCCAGCCAUUCCGCGUGCAGGAUGAAGGCCCUCGGGUUGUAAACUGCUUUUGUACGGAACGAAAAGGUCUCUNUUAAUACGGGGGGCUCAUGACGGUACCGUAAGAAUAAGCACCGGCUAACUACGUGCCAGCAGCCGCGGUAAUACGUAGGUGCAAGCGUUAAUCGGAAUUACUGGGCGUAAAGCGUGCGCAGGCGGUUAUGUAAGACAGAGGUGAAAUCCCCGGGCUCAACCUGGGAACUGCCUUUGUGACUGCAUAGCUAGAGUACGGUAGAGGGGGAUGGAAUUCCGCGUGUAGCAGCAGUNAAAUGCGUAUAUAUGCGGAGGAACACCGAUGGCGAAGGCAAUCCCCUGGACCUGUACUGACGCUCAUGCACGAAAGCGUGGGGAGCAAACAGGAUUAGAUACCCUGGUAGUCCACGCCCUAAACGAUGUCAACUGGUUGUUGGGUCUUCACUGACUCAGUAACGAAGCUAACGCGUGAAGUUGACCGCCUGGGGAGUACGCCGCAAGGGUGAAACUCAAAGGAAUUACGG
This 585-nucleotide ribosomal RNA is filed under the name uncultured beta proteobacterium ESR 9. RNAcentral describes it as "bacterial SSU rRNA". It matches the Rfam family "Bacterial small subunit ribosomal RNA", at positions 338 to 916 of the family's 1533-position model. The record is from RNAcentral. Lineage: Bacteria; Pseudomonadati; Pseudomonadota; Betaproteobacteria.